RNAcentral lists this ribosomal RNA (253 nucleotides) under uncultured bacterium. RNAcentral's name for it is "partial 16S ribosomal RNA". It matches the Rfam family "Bacterial small subunit ribosomal RNA", at positions 524 to 776 of the family's 1533-position model. The record is from RNAcentral.
UACGUAGGGUGCGAGCGUUAAUCGGAAUUACUGGGCGUAAAGCGUGCGCAGGCGGUUCGUUAAGUCAGCUGUGAAAGCCCCGGGCUCAACCUGGGAAUGGCGGUUGAAACUGGCGAACUAGAAUCUGGCAGAGGGGGGUGGAAUUCCACGUGUGGCAGUGAAAUGCGUAGAGAUGUGGAGGAACACCGAUGGCGAAGGCAGCCCCCUGGGCUGAGAUUGACGCUCAGGCACGAAAGCGUGGGGAGCAAACAGG